RNA transcript from Strigops habroptila (Kakapo), 2934 nucleotides. It is a transcript of the gene named small integral membrane protein 30, with no coding region annotated. The transcript is spliced from 2 exons. Lineage: Eukaryota; Metazoa; Chordata; Aves; Psittaciformes; Psittacidae. The record is from RefSeq and is a predicted model, not a curated record.
GCCCGCCCCCGGCCGCGCCACCGCCCCUUCCUGUCAUGGCCGCUGGCGGGCGGCGGGAGCGCGGCGUGGCGGCGGGGGCCGGCGCCCCCCGCAGCUGAGGGCCCGGCCGGGCGGCGUGGAGCGGAGCGGGGAGGUUCCCCCAGCGCGGAGCCGGCGGCGGGAGAUAACGCUGAAGUACCUGCUUCCAAGUUUUCCACCACUCUCCUCCUUUAGCUUCCCCUUGGGGUCAGCCGGCCGUCAGUAUGCCUUCUACCGAGAACACCUCAAAACUUUUACUGGUCCUCGUUUCACUGCUGCUGGUGCUGCCAGUAGCUGAAGCCCUGGAUGUAGGAGAUACCAUUGCCUUCCUACUAGGCCUUGCCGUCAGUGUCAUUGGAUUCUGUGCCUGCCUUGGCUUGUACGCAAGGAAAAGGAAUGGGCAGCAGUGAUUUCAAGAAAGUGCUCAGAUGAAGUGAAAUUCCAAAUAUGGCUUGGGGUUGAGAUCUGGGGUGUGAGACUGAGCUUUGGUUCUGGAUGACUUUCAGAAACCAUGUAGUAGAUAUUUCUGCAAACCCCUCUUUCUGUGCAAGGCAGCAGAAUCAAGACUGUACACAGUAAAAGGGAUUUGCAGGAUCUGUCUUUGUGAUAGUAAGAUGGUUUUAUAUUGCUUGUGAUUAAAUACUGUCUUAGAGAAGGGCAAGAACUUUCUGAAUGGGGAAGGAAAACCACAGUGGUUCACAGUAAAUGUUUAUAAAUGGAACAUGUGGGAGACCAUCAACAAGUUCCUCAAUUUUGGUUUCAAGGGUUAAUCAGGAGGAAGCAGCUGUUAAUCUUCCAGUCAGGACAACAGAGCUUUGGAAGUACUCCUAACUAGCUAGCUAGCGAGCAGUCUGCUUUGACUUGUGUGCACAUGCUCACAUUCUUCAUAAUGACAGUUAACAGGUCACUUCUGUCACAGGCAGGGAUGGGACUUCAGAGAACUGAGAAAACAUGAAAACCUUUUUUUUUUUUAAAUUUUUUUACUUAUUUUUAUUUUAGAAUGUGCCUUUCCUGUAGCCUGUGUUCUGGUUACCAAGUAGAUACACUUAAGAAUGGAACCGGUAUUUUUUUUUAAUGUGUAUUUCACAGAAAAGUAUGUGUAAGGCUACAUAAAUUAGAUUAGGGAUAUGGGCUUUGUCUCUAUUUUUUUGUACUCAGCUUUCCUUUAGGCACACCAGUUUUAAGGCUUGUUUCAUUUGGUGUUUGUAAUUUUUUUCCCCAAAACAGAAGUUACCUAUUUUAAAGAGGAAUUAUGUGUACUAUUUCUGCACUUAUUUUUAGAAUUAGACUAUUAGAAUUAUAAUGAGACAGUUGUGCACAUAUUUCUUUUGGAAAUGUUGUGUUAAAAUCCUGGUUUUAGUCAACAAGUCCAUUGUUCUCAAGUGUCUUCCUCAUGACAAACUUAUGCUGCUAGCUAAGUGUUUAGGCUUCCUACCUGACUGAUGCAUAUAUGUUCCACAAAAGAUUAGGACCAAAACCAAAGUAAAAAAUCCUGAUGCAAAAUGGGUGAUGUAAAUUGUCUUACUCUGUUCAUGCUCAGUCGGAUUAUAUGGUGUAUGGUGUAUGGUUGGAAGACUACUCAGUAGCAUAUCCAGGAGCUGUUUCUUUAAGUACCAAAGGUGAAAUGGCACAGCCAAGAAUGUCUACCACAAGUCCCUCUGGUUUGUUAGGAUGUUCUAGCUUCUGCUUCAGCACAGUCUGUAACAGGAGCAGAAUAAGGAGCACAGGAAGGUGAGCUCUCCGCAGUUCACAGAGUUUCCUUCUGAUUUUGUGCUGUGGACACUGCCACUUUUGCUGGAAAUCUUGGCUUUUAUCUUUCGGAGCUGGGGAAAAAGGUUAAACGUGAUGCAGAGCUGCAUAUUUUGAUUCUGUUCCUCCCUCUAUGUCUCUGUUCAAUAGAGCACAAAGCACAAUGGCUAGAGGAGUUGUCAGGUUUAUAAGUAAUUGGGUGGGCAGAUCAUGUAAUCCAAAUCAUAAGAUUUCUGUAUGCCAUUUAUGGCUGGUUUGACUUUGCUUUCCAACCCCUGAGGAGACAGAAGUCCCGGUGAUUUCAGUCUAGCAAUUUAUGCCCCUCUCAUGGUUGAUAGAGAGAGGAAGGUAAACUGAAAGCUUCUGAAAUUGCGUGGGGUUAAAACUGCAGGACUCCACCCAACAAGCCACAAGAAUGUAGGUUUCUGCUCUCAAGUUACAAGACUAAUAAUGGUCACAAAGUUACUCUGAUGAGAUUGAAGUUUUGCCAGGUAGCUGUUCUUGAAUCCUUUUUGUGGCUUCCAAAGGGCAGAAAGGGACAGAGUGCACAAAGACUAUCUACAAAUGAAAUUUACAGCCCUAAGAGGAGCUUCAGACAGUAGUGUCACUUUUGAAAGCUGCCUAAGCAGCAGUAGAUGAUCCUGAAUCUGAAUUUUCAACUGGGUGGAUGCAAGCACACAUAAAGCGUGAUCUUCCAUGUGCCAGCUUGGCUGAACUAUUAACCCUGGGAAAAACAAACAAACAAAAACCAACCAAACAACAACCCACAAAAUCACAACUCCAUUAACUUAAUAUUUUCCAAAGUUAGAGAAUUUUUCAGAAGAAUAUUAAUACUGCUCUCUCAAUAGAAUAAAUUUUAUCGCUAGCACCUUUUAGCAGACUCCUUUAUCUUUACUUUGGAAAAGAUCCCUGGCAAUAGUUGCAUUGCAGGAGAACUAAAUUUUAGCAGAGUAAUUAGCGUCAGGCGACAGGGAUAUGAGGAACUGUGUUCUUUGCCCGAAGCUCUGUGCUCUGUUGAAAGGUGUUUACACAGUGUAAUGGCGUUGUUUCCUGGGUUCUGACAGAAGCUUUAUUAUUAAAGACUUGCAUUUGUUAAUGGCUUGAGUGUAAAAUCAGAUACCCGUUUUUCGUUUGUCUGAAUAAACUUUCAUGUCUGAUUUGUCAUCA